GGCCUAGAGAUAGGUUGGGCCAGAGGUUUAACAAAACACAAUUUAAUUAUUUUUAUUGAUAGUCAAAUUUUGAAUUAAUCUUCAAAACUUUCAACAACGGAUCUCUUGGUUCUCGCAUCGAUGAAGAACGCAGCGAAAUGCGAUAAGUAAUAUGAAUUGCAGAUUUUCGUGAAUCAUCGAAUCUUUGAACGCACAUUGCGCCCUCUGGUAUUCCAGAGGGCAUGCCUGUUUGAGCGUCAUUUCUCUCUCAAACCCCCGGGUUUGGUAUUGAGUGAUACUCUUAGUCGAACUAGGCGUUUGCUUGAAAAGUAUUGGCAUGGGUAGUACUGGAUAGUGCUGUCGACCUCUCAAUGUAUUAGGUUUAUCCAACUCGUUGAAUGGUGUGGCGGGAUAUUUCUGGUAUUGUUGGCCCGGCCUUACAACAACCAAACAAGUUUGACCUCAAAUCAGGUAGGAAUACCCGCUGAACUUAAGCAUAUCAAUAAGGCGGAGGAG
RNAcentral lists this ribosomal RNA (495 nucleotides) under Meyerozyma caribbica. RNAcentral's name for it is "eukaryotic LSU rRNA". The stretch from base 86 to 239 matches the Rfam family "5.8S ribosomal RNA". Lineage: Eukaryota; Fungi; Ascomycota; Pichiomycetes; Serinales; Debaryomycetaceae. The record is from RNAcentral.